AUUUUACCGUUAUGUUCUAUAAGUAAAAGUAAAAACAAUGUGUUUUAUAACCAUGGGCUUUUAAAUGAUUUAUUAACAAUUUAUAACAAAAAUAAGAAAUAAAAGAGGGCUGCUUUCUUGUUUGAUACUAUAUAUGAAUAAAUUGUCAGUUUAAAUUAUAAUUCCAUUUAAAAAUUUUACCCGUUAUUAUGAAUGCAGGACUGAGAUACUAUAAUUAAACAAUGAACAUGUGAGUGCAUCAUACAGGAUAUGAAAAAAAAACAAGAUUUCGAGUAAGUUCUUUAUAGAAUAUUUUUUAUUUGCUCGGUUCCUGUUUUAUACAAAACAUCUAACAAGCACAGAUGCUUGUCACUGAAGUGCUUUUAAAGUCUGUCUUUUACGGAAGCAACUAAUCUAUCGACUGCAUUUAUCGAACGAAUCAUUUGUCACUUUUCUCGUUGGAUAUGCUAAAAAGAUAACUCGCGCUUGUGAUCAUAUUUGUGUGUAUAAAUAUGUGUUUUAGCAUAUGAACGCGAGUGUGUUGUAUGCAUGUAUGUUUGUAAAGGAGUGUGAAUAUGUUUGUAUGUUAGUAUGUGUGUUGUCUGUGAUGUAAGUGUGAAUGUGCUUGUAUAUAUGUAUUUAAAUGACGCAUUUCAUCAUUCGUAAUCGUCGAUCUUAAAAGUUCGUAAUAAAACGUGGAAUUAGAUACUUUAACACUAUGCAAAAUAAAAAAUAUUUUUAAUCAGAGGACAAGAGGGCUGCCAGGGGAGGAAUGGCGAGAGGGGAGAAGGUGCGUGCUAGGCCAUAUAUAAUUAAUUUCAUAAGUUCGUGGUUUCAUAUUUUUUCGUCGCGCAAUUCGAUUAUAUACAAAUAGAAUCGACCCUGAAAUUCGUCGCGUUAAAACUCGAUGUAUUCAAAAUAAUAUUAUAAACUUUAUUAAAGAAGAAAUUGUUAACAUCAACGUUAAUGAAAAUAGAAGCAUUUCUCGAUUUUUCCGCGCGAUUCGUGCGGAACAUUAUGCGAACCAUAGAGAAACGCGCGAAAUUGUUUUUUGGAAAAUUCGAGGAAAACCGAAAUAGACGCUCGCGUACUAAGUACGGUGCGACCUGUAGCACGUUUACCUUCUUUUUGUUUUCCCUUAACCUCUCAUGCGUGUGUGUAUUAUACGAUAUAGCUUUCUGUUAAAAAUUUACUUAGCGAACGCUCGUUGAACGGUUUUCCGGUCAACGUCUAGUUAACAGUAAGUAACAACUUAUAUUUCGGCAACAAUAACAAUUUCACCUUCGGUGAUCUUCCAAUUGGAAUUUCGCUACCAACGUGUCAGCUAUCUGGCAUGUACUUUACAAAUAUCUAAAUGUAUUGUAUAUAUAUAUACAUAUAUAUAUAUAUAUAUAUAUAUAUAUAUAUAUAUAUAUAUAUUAGCUUAUCUUAAACAUUCCACAAUUUUGUGGGGGUAACGGCUUCUUUGUAACGCAUUACGCUUGAUUGGCGUUACUUUAACUCUUUUAGGCAUUAUAUAUUUGUUUUUCUUAUUUUUCUUUCUUAGCAGGUCAAUUUUAAAUAAAAGGAAAAAUUUUGUAUCUUGGAAAGAAAUAGAGGAUAAACGCGUUAACGUAGAUAAAUCGACGUUACAAAGAAGUCAAUAGUUUAUUAAUCGCUCGUAAACUUACAGCAAAAUGACGGCACUAGCAGGACGUUUACAGCUCAACAAGAUAUUUCUCUAUAUUAACUUUGCAAAGAUACUAUGAUCUAUGUUAAAACGUGACUCUCUAGGAAUGGUAUGUGGUGUAGGAUUUGUUUUCUAUGGACGUCUCUAUACUGAAACGAUGUUCCU
Molecule: long non-coding RNA, 1813 nt
Organism: Polistes dominula (European paper wasp)
Lineage: Eukaryota; Metazoa; Arthropoda; Insecta; Hymenoptera; Vespidae
Source: RefSeq, a predicted model, not a curated record